CACGUAGGGCGCAAGCGUUGUCCGGAUUCAUUGGGCGUAAAGAGCUCGUAGGCGGUUUGGUAAGUCGGGUGUGAAAACUCAGGGCUCAACUCUGAGAUGCCACCCGAUACUGCUAUGACUAGAGUCCGGUAGAGGAGUAUGGAAUUCCUGGUGUAGCGGUGAAAUGCGCAGAUAUCAGGAGGAACACCAAUUGCGAAGGCAGUACUCUGGGCCGGAACUGACGCUGAGGAGCGAAAGCGUGGGUAGCGAACAGGAUUAGAUACCCUGGUAGUCCACGCCGUAAACGUUGGGCACUAGGUGUGGGGCUCUUCCAAUGAGCUCCGUGCCGUAGCUAACGCAUUAAGUGCCCCGCCUGGGGAGUACGGCCGCAAGGCUAAA
This 378-nucleotide ribosomal RNA is filed under the name uncultured bacterium. RNAcentral's name for it is "bacterial SSU rRNA". It matches the Rfam family "Bacterial small subunit ribosomal RNA", at positions 524 to 898 of the family's 1533-position model. The record is from RNAcentral.